GACGUAGGGCGCAAGCGUUGUCCGGAUUUAUUGGGCGUAAAGAGCUCGUAGGCGGCUCGUUGCGUCGGCUGUGAAAACCCGCAGCUCAACUGUGGGCUUGCAGCCGAUACGGGCGGGCUGGAGUUCGGUAGGGAAGACUGGAAUUCCUGGUGUAGCGGUGAAAUGCGCAGAUAUCAGGAGGAACACCGGUGGCGAAGGCGGGUCUCUGGGCCGAUACUGACGCUGAGGAGCGAAAGCGUGGGGAGCGAACAGG
RNAcentral lists this ribosomal RNA (253 nucleotides) under uncultured bacterium. Its description in RNAcentral is "partial 16S ribosomal RNA". It matches the Rfam family "Bacterial small subunit ribosomal RNA", at positions 524 to 776 of the family's 1533-position model. The record is from RNAcentral.